CCUCGUGCAAGCCGUUCC
Molecule: microRNA, 18 nt
Filed under: Gallus gallus (chicken)
Lineage: Eukaryota; Metazoa; Chordata; Aves; Galliformes; Phasianidae
Description: microRNA Ros-gga
Source: RNAcentral